UUUAUGGAGAGUUUGAUCCUGGCUCAGAGUGAACGCUGGCGGCGUGCCUAAUACAUGCAAGUCGAACGAUGAAGCUUCUAGCUUGCUAGAAUGCUGAUUAGUGGCGCACGGGUGAGUAACGCAUAGGUUAUGUGCCUUUUAGUUUGGGAUAGCCAUUGGAAACGGUGAUUAAUACCAGAUACUCCCUACGGGGGAAAGAUUUAUCGCUAAGAGAUCAGCCUAUGUCCUAUCAGCUUGUUGGUAAGGUAAUGGCUUACCAAGGCUAUGACGGGUAUCCGGCCUGAGAGGGUGAACGGACACACUGGAACUGAGACACGGUCCAGACUCCUACGGGAGGCAGCAGUAGGGAAUAUUGCUCAAUGGGGGAAACCCUGAAGCAGCAACGCCGCGUGGAGGAUGAAGGUUUUAGGAUUGUAAACUCCUUUUGUUAGAGAAGAUAAUGACGGUAUCUAACGAAUAAGCACCGGCUAACUCCGUGCCAGCAGCCGCGGUAAUACGGAGGGUGCAAGCGUUACUCGGAAUCACUGGGCGUAAAGAGCGCGUAGGCGGGAUAGUCAGUCAGGUGUGAAAUCCUAUGGCUUAACCAUAGAACUGCAUUUGAAACUACUAUUCUAGAGUGUGGGAGAGGUAGGUGGAAUUCUUGGUGUAGGGGUAAAAUCCGUAGAGAUCAAGAGGAAUACUCAUUGCGAAGGCGACCUGCUGGAACAUUACUGACGCUGAUUGCGCGAAAGCGUGGGGAGCAAACAGGAUUAGAUACCCUGGUAGUCCACGCCCUAAACGAUGGAUGCUAGUUGUUGGAGGGCUUAGUCUCUCCAGUAAUGCAGCUAACGCAUUAAGCAUCCCGCCUGGGGAGUACGGUCGCAAGAUUAAAACUCAAAGGAAUAGACGGGGACCCGCACAAGCGGUGGAGCAUGUGGUUUAAUUCGAAGAUACACGAAGAACCUUACCUAGGCUUGACAUUGAGAGAAUCCGCUAGAAAUAGUGGAGUGUCUGGCUUGCCAGACCUUGAAAACAGGUGCUGCACGGCUGUCGUCAGCUCGUGUCGUGAGAUGUUGGGUUAAGUCCCGCAACGAGCGCAACCCCCUUUCUUAGUUGCUAACAGGUUAUGCUGAGAACUCUAAGGAUACUGCCUCCGUAAGGAGGAGGAAGGUGGGGACGACGUCAAGUCAUCAUGGCCCUUACGCCUAGGGCUACACACGUGCUACAAUGGGGUGCACAAAGAGAAGCAAUACUGCGAAGUGGAGCCAAUCUUCAAAACACCUCUCAGUUCGGAUUGUAGGCUGCAACUCGCCUGCAUGAAGCUGGAAUCGCUAGUAAUCGCAAAUCAGCCAUGUUGCGGUGAAUACGUUCCCGGGUCUUGUACUCACCGCCCGUCACACCAUGGGAGUUGUGUUUGCCUUAAGUCAGGAUGCUAAAUUGGCUACUGCCCACGGCACACACAGCGACUGGGGUGAAGUCGUAACAAGGUAACCGUAGGUGAACCUGCGGUUGGAUCACCUCCUUU
This 1504-nucleotide ribosomal RNA is filed under the name Helicobacter pylori. RNAcentral's name for it is "bacterial SSU rRNA". It matches the Rfam family "Bacterial small subunit ribosomal RNA". The record is from RNAcentral. Lineage: Bacteria; Pseudomonadati; Campylobacterota; Epsilonproteobacteria; Campylobacterales; Helicobacteraceae.